GGACCCGACUGCUAUCAGAGUGAGAUUAAGCCAUGCGAGUUAACGUAGCAAUACGUGGCGCACGGCUCAGUAACACGUAGUCAACAUGCCCAGAGGACGCGGAUAACCUCGGGAAACUGAGUCUAAACCGCGAUAAGUGAGGAUUUCUGGAAUGGUUCCUGACUAAAAUCUAUAUGGCCUCUGGAUUGGACUGCGGCCGAUCAGGCUGUUGGUGAGGUAAUGGCCCACCAAACCUGUAACCGGUACGGGCUCUGAGAGGAGGAGCCCGGAGAUGGGCACUGAGACAAGGGCCCAGGCCCUAUGGGGCGCAGCAGGCGCGAAACCUCUGCAAUAGGCGAAAGCCUGACAGGGUUACUCUGAGUGACUUUCGCUAAGAAAGUCUUUUGGCACCUUUAAAAAGGGUGCAGAAUAAGGGGUGGGCAAGUCUGGUGUCAGCCGCCGCGGUAAUACCAGCACCCCGAGUGGUCGGGACGUUUAUUGGGCCUAAAGCAUCCGUAGCCGGUUCUACAAGUCUUCCGUUAAAUCCAGCUGCUUAACAGAUGGGCUGCGGAAGAUACUAUGGAGCUAGGAGGCGGGAGAGGCAAGCGGUACUCGGUGGGUAGGGGUAAAAUCCGUUGAUCCAUUGGAGACCACCAGUGGCGAAGGCGGCUUGCCAGAACGCGCUCGACGGUGAGGGAUGAAAGCUGGGGGAGCAAACCGGAUUAGAUACCCGGGUAGUCCCAGCUGUAAACGAUGCAGACUCGGUGAUGAGUUGGCUACAUGCCAUCUCAGUGCCGCAGGGAAGCCGUUAAGUUUGCCGCCUGGGGAGUACGGUCGCAAGACUGAAACUUAAAGGAAUUGGCGGGGGAGCUGCGCAAGGGGUGAAGCCUGCGGUUCAAUU
This 880-nucleotide ribosomal RNA is filed under the name uncultured archaeon. RNAcentral describes it as "bacterial SSU rRNA". It matches the Rfam family "Archaeal small subunit ribosomal RNA", at positions 19 to 907 of the family's 1478-position model. The record is from RNAcentral.